This 463-nucleotide ribosomal RNA is filed under the name uncultured bacterium. Its description in RNAcentral is "bacterial SSU rRNA". It matches the Rfam family "Bacterial small subunit ribosomal RNA", at positions 339 to 794 of the family's 1533-position model. The record is from RNAcentral.
AUACGGAAGGCAGCAGUGGGGAAUUUUGGACAAUGGGGGAAACCCUGAUCCAGCCAUUCCGCGUGAGUGAAGAAGGCCUUCGGGUUGUAAAGCUCUUUCGGCAGGAACGAAACGGUUUGCCCUAAUACGGUGAGCUAAUGACGGUACCUGAAGAAGAAGCACCGGCUAACUACGUGCCAGCAGCCGCGGUAAUACGUAGGGUGCGAGCGUUAAUCGGAAUUACUGGGCGUAAAGCGUGCGCAGGCGGUUAUGUAAGACAGGUGUGAAAUCCCCGGGCUUAACCUGGGAACUGCGCUUGUGACUGCAUAACUAGAGUGUGGCAGAGGGGGGUAGAAUUCCACGUGUAGCAGUGAAAUGCGUAGAGAUGUGGAGGAAUACCGAUGGCGAAGGCAGCCCCCUGGGUCAACACUGACGCUCAUGCACGAAAGCGUGGGGAGCAAACAGGAUUAGAUACCCUGGUAGC